RNAcentral lists this ribosomal RNA (490 nucleotides) under uncultured bacterium. RNAcentral's name for it is "partial 16S ribosomal RNA". It matches the Rfam family "Bacterial small subunit ribosomal RNA", at positions 28 to 507 of the family's 1533-position model. The record is from RNAcentral.
GAUGAACGCUAGCUACAGGCUUAACACGUGCAAGUCGCGGGGCAGCAUGGGGGUUGCUUGCAAUCCCCGAUGGCGACCGGCGCACGGGUGAGUAACGCGUAUCCAACCUGCCCUUCACCACGGGAUAACCCGGCGAAAGUCGGACUAAUACCGUAUGUUGUCCAUUGACGGCAUCCGAUUUGGACGAAAGGCUUGGCGGUGAGGGGUGGGGAUGCGUCCGAUUAGCCAGACGGCGGGGUAACGGCCCACCGUGGCUACGAUCGGUAGGGGUUCUGAGAGUGAGGUCCCCCACACUGGAACUGAGACACGGUCCAGACUCCUACGGGAGGCAGCAGUGAGGAAUAUUGGUCAAUGGGCGUAAGCCUGAACCAGCCAAGUAGCGUGCAGGAUGACGGCCCUAUGGGUUGUAAACUGCUUUUAUGCGGGGAUAAAGUGGCCCACGUGUGGGCUUUUGCAGGUACCGCAUGAAUAAGGACCGGCUAAUUCCGUG